This 1449-nucleotide ribosomal RNA is filed under the name Salmonella enterica subsp. enterica serovar Infantis. Its description in RNAcentral is "partial 23S ribosomal RNA". It matches the Rfam family "Bacterial large subunit ribosomal RNA", at positions 1 to 1397 of the family's 2925-position model. The record is from RNAcentral. Lineage: Bacteria; Pseudomonadati; Pseudomonadota; Gammaproteobacteria; Enterobacterales; Enterobacteriaceae.
GGGUUGUGAGGUUAAGCGACUAAGCGUACACGGUGGAUGCCCUGGCAGUCAGAGGCGAUGAAGGGCGUGCUAAUCUGCGAUAAGCGCCGGUAAGGUGAUAUGAACCGUUAUAACCGGCGAUACCCGAAUGGGGAAACCCAGUGUGACUCGUCACACUAUCAUUAACUGAAUCCAUAGGUUAAUGAGGCGAACCGGGGGAACUGAAACAUCUAAGUACCCCGAGGAAAAGAAAUCAACCGAGAUUCCCCCAGUAGCGGCGAGCGAACGGGGAGGAGCCCAGAGCCUGAAUCAGCAUGUGUGUUAGUGGAAGCGUCUGGAAAGGCGCGCGAUACAGGGUGACAGCCCCGUACACAAAAGCGCAUGUGCUGUGAGCUCGAUGAGUAGGGCGGGACACGUGGUAUCCUGUCUGAAUAUGGGGGGACCAUCCUCCAAGGCUAAAUACUCCUGACUGACCGAUAGUGAACCAGUACCGUGAGGGAAAGGCGAAAAGAACCCCGGCGAGGGGAGUGAAAAAGAACCUGAAACCGUGUACGUACAAGCAGUGGGAGCACAGGUUUACCUGUGUGACUGCGUACCUUUUGUAUAAUGGGUCAGCGACUUAUAUUCUGUAGCAAGGUUAACCGAAUAGGGGAGCCGGAGGGAAACCGAGUCUUAAUUGGGCGUUAAGUUGCAGGGUAUAGACCCGAAACCCGGUGAUCUAGCCAUGGGCAGGUUGAAGGUUGGGUAACACUAACUGGAGGACCGAACCGACUAAUGUUGAAAAAUUAGCGGAUGACCUGUGGCUGGGGGUGAAAGGCCAAUCAAACCGGGAGAUAGCUGGUUCUCCCCGAAAGCUAUUUAGGUAGCGCCUCGUGAAUUCAUCUCCGGGGGUAGAGCACUGUUUCGGCUAGGGGGCCAUCCCGGCUUACCAACCCGAUGCAAACUGCGAAUACCGGAGAAUGUUAUCACGGGAGACACACGGCGGGUGCUAACGUCCGUCGUGAAGAGGGAAACAACCCAGACCGCCAGCUAAGGUCCCAAAGUCAUGGUUAAGUGGGAAACGAUGUGGGAAGGCCCAGACAGCCAGGAUGUUGGCUUAGAAGCAGCCAUCAUUUAAAGAAAGCGUAAUAGCUCACUGGUCGAGUCGGCCUGCGCGGAAGAUGUAACGGGGCUAAACCAUGCACCGAAGCUGCGGCAGCGAACGUAUCACUUAAAGCGAUUCAGCGGGUUACGAUUGACGGAGCGAAGCGACGUCAAAGCGUAUACAAAGUCGAGUCGGUUUAAGGAUACGUUCGUUGGGUAGGGGAGCGUUCUGUAAGCCUGUGAAGGUGUGUCGUGAGGCAUGCUGGAGGUAUCAGAAGUGCGAAUGCUGACAUAAGUAACGAUAAAGCGGGUGAAAAGCCCGCUCGCCGGAAGACCAAGGGUUCCUGUCCAACGUUAAUCGGGGCAGGGUGAGUCGACCCCUAAGGC